GAACCGUCCAAACGUUUAUUCGGAAUCACUGGGCUUAAAGGGUGCGUAGGCGGCCCUGCAAGUUGGGUGUGAAAUCCCACGGCUCAACCGUGGAAUUGCGCUCAAAACUGCAGGACUAGAGGGAGAUAGAGGUGAGCGGAACUAAUGGUGGAGCGGUGAAAUGCGUUGAUAUCAUUAGGAACACCGGUGGCGAAAGCGGCUCACUGGAUCUUUUCUGACGCUGAGGCACGAAAGCUAGGGUAGCGAACGGGGGAUUAGAUACCCCGGUAGUCCUAGCUGUAAACGAUGAGCACUGGGUUGGAGGCUCCUCCAUAGGCUUCCGGCCGAAGCGAAAGUGUUAAGUGCUCCGCCUGGGGAGUAUGGUCGCAAGGCUG
This 374-nucleotide ribosomal RNA is filed under the name uncultured organism. Its description in RNAcentral is "partial 16S ribosomal RNA". It matches the Rfam family "Bacterial small subunit ribosomal RNA", at positions 527 to 896 of the family's 1533-position model. The record is from RNAcentral.